CUGUUCCUUUAUUGAAAGAUGGCUUCGGCUAUCACUUACAGAUGGGCCCGCGGCGCAUUAGCUAGUUGGUGAGGUAACGGCUCACCAAGGCGACGAUGCGUAGCCGACCUGAGAGGGUGAUCGGCCACACUGGGACUGAGACACGGCCCAGACUCCUACGGGAGGCAGCAGUAGGGAAUCUUCCGCAAUGGACGAAAGUCUGACGGAGCAACGCCGCGUGAGCGAUGAAGGCCUUCGGGUCGUAAAGCUCUGUUGUUAGGGAAGAAUAAGUGCUAGUUGAAUAAGCUGGCACCUUGACGGUACCUAACCAGAAAGCCACGGCUAACUACGUGCCAGCAGCCGCGGUAAUACGUAGGUGGCAAGCGUUGUCCGGAAUUAUUGGGCGUAAAGCGCGCGCAGGCGGUUUCUUAAGUCUGAUGUGAAAGCCCCCGGCUCAACCGGGGAGGGUCAUUGGAAACUGGGAAACUUGAGUGCAGAAGAGGAAAGUGGAAUUCCAAGUGUAGCGGUGAAAUGCGUAGAGAUUUGGAGGAACACCAGUGGCGAAGGCGACUUUCUGGUCUGUAACUGACGCUGAGGCGCGAAAGCGUGGGGAGCAAACAGGAUUAGAUACCCUGGUAGUCCACGCUGUAAACGAUGAGUGCUAAGUGUUAGAGGGUUUCCGCCCUUUAGUGCUGAAGUUAACGCAUUAAGCACUCCGCCUGGGGAGUACGGUCGCAAGACUGAAACUCAAAGGAAUUGACGGGGGCCCGCACAAGUGGUGGAGCAUGUGGUUUAAUUCGAAGCAACGCGAAGAACCUUACCAGGUCUUGACAUCCUCUGACAACCCUAGAGAUAGGGCUUUCCCUUCGGGGACAGAGUGACAGGUGGUGCAUGGUUGUCGUCAGCUCGUGUCGUGAGAUGUUGGGUUAAGUCCCGCAACGAGCGCAACCCUUGAUCUUAGUUGCCAGCAUUCAGUUGGGCACUCUAAGGUGACUGCCGGUGACAAACCGGAGGAAGGUGGGGAUGACGUCAAAUCAUCAUGCCCCUUAUGACCUGGGCUACACACGUGCUACAAUGGAUAGUACAAAGGGUUGCAAGACCGCGAGGUGGAGCUAAUCCCAUAAAACUAUUCUCAGUUCGGAUU
Molecule: ribosomal RNA, 1123 nt
Filed under: Bacillus sp. (in: firmicutes)
Lineage: Bacteria; Bacillati; Bacillota; Bacilli; Caryophanales; Bacillaceae
Description: bacterial SSU rRNA
Rfam family: Bacterial small subunit ribosomal RNA
Source: RNAcentral